CGGGUAGCCGGCCUGAGAGGGCGACCGGCCACACUGGGACUGAGACACGGCCCAGACUCCUGCGGGAGGCAGCAGUGGGGAAUAUUGCGCAAUGGGCGAAAGCCUGACGCAGCGACGCCGCGUGGGGGAUGACGGCCUUCGGGUUGUAAACCUCUUUUACCACCAACGCAGGCUCCGGGUUCUCUCGGGGUUGACGGUAGGUGGGGAAUAAGGACCGGCUAACUACGUGCCAGCAGCCGCGGUAAUACGUAGGGUCCGAGCGUUGUCCGGAAUUAUUGGGCGUAAAGAGCUCGUAGGCGGCGUGUCGCGUCUGCUGUGAAAGACCGGGGCUUAACUCCGGUUCUGCAGUGGAUACGGGCAUGCUAGAGGUAGGUAGGGGAGACUGGAAUUCCUGGUGUAGCGGUGAAAUGCGCAGAUAUCAGGAGGAACACCGGUGGCGAAGGCGGGUCUCUGGGCCUUACCUGACGCUGAGGAGCGAAAGCAUGGGGAGCGAACAGGAUUAGAUACCCUGGUAGUCCAUGCCGUAAACGUUGGGCGCUAGGUGUGGGGACUUUCCACGGUUUCCGCGCCGUAGCUAACGCAUUAAGCGCCCCGCCUGGGGGAGUACGGA
RNAcentral lists this ribosomal RNA (610 nucleotides) under Nocardiopsis alba. RNAcentral describes it as "bacterial SSU rRNA". It matches the Rfam family "Bacterial small subunit ribosomal RNA", at positions 280 to 886 of the family's 1533-position model. The record is from RNAcentral. Lineage: Bacteria; Bacillati; Actinomycetota; Actinomycetes; Streptosporangiales; Nocardiopsidaceae.